This is a non-coding RNA of Fulmarus glacialis (Northern fulmar), 47 nucleotides long. Lineage: Eukaryota; Metazoa; Chordata; Aves; Procellariiformes; Procellariidae. The record is from Rfam.
AAAAAGGCUUUUCUUAAAGCCAUAGCAGAAAUACCUCACAAGUGUUU